Molecule: ribosomal RNA, 464 nt
Filed under: uncultured bacterium
Lineage: Bacteria
Description: bacterial SSU rRNA
Rfam family: Bacterial small subunit ribosomal RNA
Source: RNAcentral
UGAGGAAUAUUGCGCAAUGGCCGAAAGGCUGACGCAGCGACGCCGCGUGAAGGAUGAAGUUCGUUAGAAUGUAAACUUCUUUUGUAGGGGAUGAAUGUGCCGUUUUGCGGCAUUGACCGUACCCUGCGAAUAAGGAUCGGCUAACUACGUGCCAGCAGCCGCGGUAAUACGUAGGAUCCGAGCGUUGUCCGGAUUUACUGGGUGUAAAGGGCGUGUAGGUGGGUCUCUAAGUCGGUGGUGAAAGCCCGCAGCUCAACUGCGGAAUUGUCCAUUGAUACUGGAGGUCUUGAGUACGGCAGAGGGAAAUAGAAUUCAUGGUGUAGCGGUGAAAUGUGUAGAUAUCAUGAAGAAUACCGGUAGCGAAGGCGGUUUCCUGGUCCGUAACUGACACUGAGGCGCGAAAGCGUGGGGAGCAAACAGGAUUAGAUACCCUAGUAGUCCCUGAGCGGGCUGGCAAGGCGCAU